Non-coding RNA from Austrofundulus limnaeus, 396 nucleotides. The record is from the annotation of a RefSeq genome assembly. NCBI's taxonomy places the organism in Eukaryota, Metazoa, Chordata, Actinopteri, Cyprinodontiformes, Rivulidae.
GUGACUGUGGAUCAACCUGCAGUACAGACAUUUACUCCAGGAGCCACUGUUACUCUGACAUGUGCUACAAAUCCUGAUGUUCUCAGAUGGAAAAAUGGAGAGGAAGGUAUAUUCUGGUAUCAGCAGAAACCAGGACAGCUUCCAAAGCUCCUUAUAAAUUAUGUUAAAAAGCUUGAAUCAGGAACUCCAGCUCGGUUUAGUGGCAGUGGAAGCGGCUCUGAUUUCUCUUUGACCAUCAGUGGAGCUCAGGCUGAAGAUGCUGCAGUUUAUUACUGUAAAAGUAUCCAUGAGAUAAACGAUGCUGUUGUGUUCACACAGUGAUUCAGAGUCGUACAAAAACCUCCCUCAGUCAGACUGCAGACACUCUGAGCUGUUAGAGCAGAAACUGACUGCAGC